GCCUUGAUGGUGAAAUGGUAGACACGCGAGACUCAAAAUCUCGUGCUGAAGAGCGUGGAGGUUCGACUCCUCUUCAAGGCA
Molecule: transfer RNA, 81 nt
Filed under: Pseudoroegneria spicata
Lineage: Eukaryota; Viridiplantae; Streptophyta; Magnoliopsida; Poales; Poaceae
Description: tRNA-Leu
Rfam family: tRNA
About the family: Transfer RNA (tRNA) molecules are approximately 80 nucleotides in length. Their secondary structure includes four short double-helical elements and three loops (D, anti-codon, and T loops).
Source: RNAcentral